RNAcentral lists this unclassified non-coding RNA (345 nucleotides) under Hevea brasiliensis (rubber tree). Lineage: Eukaryota; Viridiplantae; Streptophyta; Magnoliopsida; Malpighiales; Euphorbiaceae. The record is from RNAcentral.
GUGGUGUUUGUCAAAAGGUAAAAAUUAUUGUCAUGGACAUUGAUCUUAGGUUGCCUUCUGGUGAGCAUGACAAAGACAACGAAGAACCAAAUGGAAUUGACAAUAUGUUGAGUGAAGACAAGCUACAUAAUGGAGAUGUAGUAACUGGAAAUAUUGUCAAUGUUGCAGAAGAGGUACAUGCCAUAGAAGGUGGGGCCAUGAGUUCUCCAACAGCAGAAUUCAAAGAAGAAGCUAAUCUUGAGCCACUUUCUGGUAUGGAAUUUGAAUCACAUGGGGCAGCAUAUUCUUUUUAUCAAGAAUAUGCUCGGUCUAUGGGAUUUAACACAGCAAUACAAAACAGCCGCC